UGGGGAAUAUUGGACAAUGGGCGCAAGCCUGAUCCAGCCAUACCGCGUGGGUGAAGAAGGCCUUCGGGUUGUAAAGCCCUUUUGUUGGGAAAGAAAUCCAGCUGGCUAAUACCCGGUUGGGAUGACGGUACCCAAAGAAUAAGCACCGGCUAACUUCGUGCCAGCAGCCGCGGUAAUACGAAGGGUGCAAGCGUUACUCGGAAUUACUGGGCGUAAAGCGUGCGUAGGUGGUCGUUUAAGUCCGUUGUGAAAGCCCUGGGCUCAACCUGGGAACUGCAGUGGAUACUGGGCGACUAGAGUGUGGUAGAGGGUAGCGGAAUUCCGUNCUCNAGCAGUGAAAUGCGUAGAGAUCAGGAGGAACAUCCAUGGCGAAGGCAGCUACCUGGACCAACACUGACACUGAGGCACGAAAGCGUGGGGAGCAAACAGGAUUAGAUACCCUGGUAGUCCACGCCCUAAACGAUGCGAACUGGAUGUUGGGUGCAAUUUGGCACGCAGUAUCGAAGCUAACGCGUUAAGUUCGCCGCCUGGGGAGUACGGUCGCAAGACUGAAACUCAAAUGAAUUGAC
RNAcentral lists this ribosomal RNA (569 nucleotides) under uncultured bacterium. RNAcentral describes it as "partial 16S ribosomal RNA". It matches the Rfam family "Bacterial small subunit ribosomal RNA", at positions 355 to 914 of the family's 1533-position model. The record is from RNAcentral.